This is a long non-coding RNA of Pseudophryne corroboree (corroboree frog), 467 nucleotides long. RefSeq lists it as uncharacterized. NCBI's taxonomy places the organism in Eukaryota, Metazoa, Chordata, Amphibia, Anura, Myobatrachidae. The transcript is spliced from 3 exons. The record is from RefSeq and is a predicted model, not a curated record.
GGCGCCGCACAGCGCGCAUAGCGCGCGCUGAGUUUAUAGUGUGAAACUGUGCGCCCACCCGCCGGAGGCACCCCGUCCUCACACAGCAGGAGCAGCAGCCGCAGCAGCCGCCUCCGCUUCUUCCUCCUUCCCGCCCAAGCGAACCAUCGGCAGCAGAGCGUGUUUUGCAGAAUGUGACCUCCAGCAGCAGCUUGAUUCCUCCUGAGAGGAACGCUGAGGAUUGAGAGCGCGGCCAGGAGAAGACAGAGGGCUCGGGCCGGCAGAAAGUGAGGGCGUGGUGUGAGUCACAUGACGAGGCAGAGGCCGGAUGAAAGAUGUUUCAAAGUGACGUUGUGCGAUUUCUCUGAAAAACUGUGGAUAAAUAUGACCUGAAGAAGGAACAAGUAACCAGCGUACGCAGGGACCCUGCUGGAGAGAUUGCAGAAUGCAGGCUGCUGAUACUAAUAAUAAACAUGAAUUUACUUUUA